RNAcentral lists this ribosomal RNA (253 nucleotides) under uncultured bacterium. RNAcentral describes it as "partial 16S ribosomal RNA". It matches the Rfam family "Bacterial small subunit ribosomal RNA", at positions 524 to 776 of the family's 1533-position model. The record is from RNAcentral.
UACGUGGGGUGCAGGCGUUAAUCGGAAUUACUGGGUGUAAAGCGUGCGCAGGCGGUUUCUUAAGUCAGAUGUGAAAGCCCCGGGCUUAACCUGGGAACUGCGUUUGAAACUGGGAGACUUGAGUGUGGCAGAGGGGGGUGGAAUUCCACGUGUAGCAGUGAAAUGCGUAGAUAUGUGGAGGAACACCGAUGGCGAAGGCAGCCCCCUGGGUUAACACUGACGCUCAUGCACGAAAGCGUGGGGAGCAAACAGG